Molecule: long non-coding RNA, 109 nt
Organism: Phyllostomus discolor (pale spear-nosed bat)
Lineage: Eukaryota; Metazoa; Chordata; Mammalia; Chiroptera; Phyllostomidae
Exons: 3
Source: RefSeq, a predicted model, not a curated record
CCUUCCCCUUACAGGAAGGACUCCCUCCAUGCUGCAUCCCCCAACCCCUUUCAGGGCACCCCUGAGCCACGGGUAGGUAGGACAACGUCCAUUCCCAGCUUUGCAGCAG